Molecule: long non-coding RNA, 433 nt
Organism: Gymnodraco acuticeps
Lineage: Eukaryota; Metazoa; Chordata; Actinopteri; Perciformes; Bathydraconidae
Exons: 3
Source: RefSeq, a predicted model, not a curated record
GAGAGCACGUCCAACACGUGAGACGCUGACGCAAGGAUAUUUAAGGAGACAUGGAGGUUUACAGACAACAGACAACAAACAAUAUGGCGCACCGAGUACAGUAUGCCUGGUAUUUUGCCAUGGAGGCCAGCUUUGACUUCAGCAUUCAUGACAUGUCUCUCCUGAGAAGGUGGUGGUGUGUUAUCCUGGUGGAAAACUUUGGACUGGAAGGGUAUGCUGCAGUGCUACAAAAACAUUUGAAUUUGUAAUUGUAUUAUCAAGAAGAUUUGGGGGGAACACCUGGCUCUAAAAUUCAACCUUCUGGUGAAGAAAAUGUGUCUUAAUUGCAGGUAUGGAAAGAGGUUUGCUCACUAUAGUGAGGAAGGCAGGGCGACCCAAUGUCCCACCUACAUUCAGGAUCAGUCGUAAAAGGACGCAUGCAAGCAGCACCAUG